Molecule: ribosomal RNA, 459 nt
Filed under: uncultured bacterium
Lineage: Bacteria
Description: partial 16S ribosomal RNA
Rfam family: Bacterial small subunit ribosomal RNA
Source: RNAcentral
CCUACGGGAGGCAGCAGUGAGGAAUAUUGGUCAAUGGUCGGGAGACUGAACCAGCCAAGCCGCGUGAGGGAGGAAGGUACAGAGUAUCGUAAACCUCUUUUGUCAGGGAACAAAGACUGGGACGCGUCACCGGAGGAGUGUACCUGAAGAAAAAGCAUCGGCUAACUCGGUGCCAGCAGCCGAGGUAAUACGGGGGAUGCGAGCGUUAUCCGGAUUGAUUGGGUUAAAGGGGUGCGCAGGCGGCCUGUUAAGUCAGCGGUCAAAGCCCGGGGCUCAACCCCGGCCCGCCGUUGAAACUGGCAGGCUUGAGUUGGAGAGAAGGAGGUGGAAUGCCCGGUGUAGCGGUGAAAUGCAUAGAGAUCGCGCAGAACUCCGAUUGCGAAGGCAGCAUGCCGGCUCCACACUGACGCUGAGGUACGAAAGCGUGGGUAGCGAACAGGAUUAGAUACCCGGGUAGUC